ACGCUCGACACCUACUGGAGGCAGCAGUGGGGAAUAUUGCACAAUGGAGGAAACUCUGAUGCAGCGAUGCCGCGUGAGGGAAGAAGGUUUUCGGAUUGUAAACCUCUGUCUUUGGGGACGAUAAUGACGGUACCCAAGGAGGAAGCUCCGGCUAACUACGUGCCAGCAGCCGCGGUAAUCUGAGCGGCUGGCAAGGC
This 197-nucleotide ribosomal RNA is filed under the name uncultured bacterium. RNAcentral describes it as "partial 16S ribosomal RNA". It matches the Rfam family "Bacterial small subunit ribosomal RNA", at positions 328 to 539 of the family's 1533-position model. The record is from RNAcentral.